This 261-nucleotide ribosomal RNA is filed under the name uncultured Staphylococcus sp. RNAcentral's name for it is "partial 16S ribosomal RNA". It matches the Rfam family "Bacterial small subunit ribosomal RNA", at positions 524 to 784 of the family's 1533-position model. The record is from RNAcentral. Lineage: Bacteria; Bacillati; Bacillota; Bacilli; Caryophanales; Staphylococcaceae.
UACGUAGGUGGCAAGCGUUAUCCGGAAUUAUUGGGCGUAAAGCGCGCGUAGGCGGUUUUUUAAGUCUGAUGUGAAAGCCCACGGCUCAACCGUGGAGGGUCAUUGGAAACUGGAAAACUUGAGUGCAGAAGAGGAAAGUGGAAUUCCAUGUGUAGCGGUGAAAUGCGCAGAGAUAUGGAGGAACACCGAUGGCGAAGGCAGGUUACUGGGCAGUCACUGACGCUGAGGAGCGAAAGCAUGGGUAGCAAACAGGAUUAGAUA